GAUGAACGCUGGCGGCGUGCCUAAUACAUGCAAGUCGAGCGAACAGACGAUGAGCUUGCGCCUCUGACGUUAGCGGCGGACGGGUGAGUAACGCGUGGAUAACCUACCUGUAUGACGGGGAUAACUUCGGGAAUCCGGAGCUAAUACCGGAGAAUAUAUUGAACCGCAUUGUUCAAUGGUGAAAGACGGUUUUGCUGUCACUUAUAGAUGGAUCCGCGCCGCAUUAGCUAGUUGGUAAGGUAACGGGUUACCAAGGCAAGGAUGCGUAGCCGACGUGACAGGGUGAUCGGCCACACUGGAACUGAGACACGGACCAGACGCCUACGGGAGGCAGCAGUAGGGAAUCUUCCGCAAUGGGCGAAAGCCUGACGGAGCAACGCCGCGUGAGUGAUGAAGGUCUUCGGAUCGUAAAACUCUGUUAUUAGGGAAGAACAAAUGUGUAAGUAACUAUGCACGUCGUGACGGUACCUAAUCAGAAAGCCACGGCUAACUACGUG
This 497-nucleotide ribosomal RNA is filed under the name uncultured bacterium. RNAcentral describes it as "partial 16S ribosomal RNA". It matches the Rfam family "Bacterial small subunit ribosomal RNA", at positions 28 to 507 of the family's 1533-position model. The record is from RNAcentral.